Molecule: long non-coding RNA, 832 nt
Filed under: Calidris pygmaea (Spoon-billed sandpiper)
Lineage: Eukaryota; Metazoa; Chordata; Aves; Charadriiformes; Scolopacidae
Description: lncRNA (ENSCPGG00000014455.1)
Source: RNAcentral
AUGGGGCAGCUCUCAGCUCCUGCCCAGGAGCACGAGGAGAUCAGGAGCACGAUGACUUCUUUUUUUUUUUUUUUAACUUCUCCAUAUAAACCAAUAUUUACCAGUAAUCCUGUGUUUCUGUUUUUGUUUUUUGGCAGACUUUUACCAGUAAAUAUCGGUUUAUUCCUGAAACCAGAAGCCCUAAACAUACCUUUGUUUAUAAGUUUUCCUGCUCUGCAUCUCUGGGAACUGGAGCCUGCAGGACCUAGAGCCUUCUGUUGUGCACUGGUGUACCAAGCCUCAGAACCACUGCUUUCUCCAGCUCAUAGGAUGCUUUUCCAAGACUGUGGAUACGUGUAUGUGUACUGCUGUGUUGAUAAGUAAAUGCCAACGGAGUUUGUUGCUUUUAUACAUCCCAAAGAGAAGUUCUCCACCCUUCAUUUUCUGUUUUCUGACCGAAAAAGUGUGUGUUUGUGAACAGUGUUCACGCAAGUUCUGCCAUCCCACUCUCACAUCAGCUUAUACCAAUGCCAGGAUGGGAGGAUUUGCCUGCGUACCUUCCCCAAAACACCCUGGUUCACAGUGGCAUCGUCAGGGAGCAGUUCAAACGCGUGUCCUUUGGGCUUUGUGUAAAGCAAACACAGAACAAGAAAAAUCGAGAUGUUAAAUCCAUUAGAAAACAAAUCCCUUAUUGUACAGUAGUAUGGAGAUAUCUAGUCAACCUGCCAUUAAUAAUAGAUUCUUAUUUUUUGAAUGAUCUAUUUAAAAGAACAGCAAGCAUUGUAUUUGCUAGUAAAUCUGAAGUGUUUACAUGGAAUUACUAAAUAAAUUAUUUGAUCUAAGAUGGCUCUCA